AUGUUGAAACUGAAGCUACUUGGUCUAUGCUCCUUGGAACGAACAAUUGCGCGACAAAGAUCAAGAAUUCUCUCACUCCGGGAGGGGGAUGCAAACACUAGCUUCUUCCACCAACACGCUUGUCACCGGCAAAGGCGCAACAUGAUCACAACGAUCAGAAAUGGGGACACCACCGCAAGCACGCAUGAUGAGAUCGCAAAUGAAGUGGAUGACUAUUACACAAAUGUGUUUGCUGGCACACUGGGCAGAGCACACACCAUAGACCUCAGCCUUCUUGAUCUACCGACCAUGGAUUUGACGCAUCUUGAUCAGCCUUUCACCGAGGAGGAAGUGGAGAAGUUUGUGAAGACCAUGCCCAUGGAUAAGGCACCGGGUCCGGAUGGCUUCACGGGACGGUUCUUUGCAUUCUGCUGGCCUAUAAUCAAGGACGACCUCAUGAGGGCACUGCACACUUUCCACCAUGGCGAUAUGAGGGGCCUGCACGCCAUCAACAAGGCAAUUGUGGCACUACUUCCUAAGAAGGAUGGAGCAGUGGACAUACGCGACUUUCGGCCAGUGAGUCUGGUCCAUGGCGCGAUAAAGAUCUUUGACAAGACACUAGCUUCAAGGCUUGCAGUGGAUCUUCCGUUACUAGUGGGAAAACACCAGAGCGCUUUCGUGCGAGGGCGAUCCAUUCACGACAACUUCAUGCUCGUCCAAUGCACGGCACGUAAGCUUCACGCCCUACGACACCCAGCCAUUAUGCUCAAGCUUGACAUAUCAAAGGCUUUCGACUCAGUGCAAUGGCCCUUCCUCCUAGAAGUGCUACGCAAGGCUGGAUUUCGGGACCGUUGGAUCACGUGGAUUUGUGGAAUGCUGGCAAGUGCAUCAACAAGGAUCAUGGUCAACAGUACACCGGGACAGCCAAUCUACAACACCGUGGGCUUGAGGCAAGGUGCCCCACUAUCCCCAAUGCUGUUCAUUCUUGUCAUGGAACCCUUGCACCGCAUGUUCGAGCUUGCGACUGCAAAGGGACUGCUUGAGCCGCUUGCAAGAACAGGGCUACAUCACUGUCUCUCAAUGUUUGCCGACGACGUAAUGAUCUUUCUCAAGCCCAAUGAGCAGGAUAUGAACAUGUGUGCAUCAAUUCUUACCCUGUUUGGGGAGGCAUCGGGCCUCCGCGUCAACCUUGCCAAGAGCGCGGCCUACCCUAUACGAUGCUCUGAUGAGAUCAUGGAAUCAGUGGAGAGAGCACUUGGAUGCCCGAGAGGCGCCUUCCCAUGCAAAUACCUUGGUCUGCCGCUCACCCUGAGAAAACAGUCACAUGUACAGCUAUCAGGCCUUGUGGACCAACUAGCAACGGCAUUGCCAAAAUGGAAAGCAGCAAGG
This 1368-nucleotide ribosomal RNA is filed under the name Triticum aestivum (bread wheat). RNAcentral's name for it is "partial small subunit ribosomal RNA". The record is from RNAcentral. Lineage: Eukaryota; Viridiplantae; Streptophyta; Magnoliopsida; Poales; Poaceae.